CACGUAGGGUGCGAGCGUUGUCCGGAAUUAUUGGGCGUAAAGAGCUCGUAGGCGGUGUGUCGCGUCGGCCGUGAAAACCUGCAGCUUAACUGUGGGCGUGCGGUCGAUACGGGCAUCACUGGAGUUCGGCAGGGGAGACUGGAAUUCCUGGUGUAGCGGUGAAAUGCGCAGAUAUCAGGAGGAACACCGGUGGCGAAGGCGGGUCUCUGGGCAGUAACUGACGCUGAGGAGCGAAAGCAUGGGGAGCGAACAGG
RNAcentral lists this ribosomal RNA (254 nucleotides) under uncultured bacterium. RNAcentral describes it as "partial 16S ribosomal RNA". It matches the Rfam family "Bacterial small subunit ribosomal RNA", at positions 524 to 776 of the family's 1533-position model. The record is from RNAcentral.